This 814-nucleotide ribosomal RNA is filed under the name uncultured bacterium. Its description in RNAcentral is "bacterial SSU rRNA". It matches the Rfam family "Bacterial small subunit ribosomal RNA", at positions 8 to 796 of the family's 1533-position model. The record is from RNAcentral.
AGAGUUUGAUCAUGGCUCAGAACGAACGCUGGCGGCGUGCCUAACACAUGCAAGUCGAGCGGGAAAGUUCCCUUCGGGGAGCGAGUACAGCGGCGAACGGGUGAGUACAACGUAGGUAACCUACCCCCGAGACUGGGAUAACUUGUCGAAAGACGGGCUAAUACCGGAUAAGACCACGAGGGCCUCGGCCCUUGGGGUAAAAGAUGGCCUCUGCUUGCAAGCUAUCACUCGAGGAUGGGCCUGCGCGCCAUUAGCUAGUUGGUGAGGUAACGGCUCACCAAGGCGAAGAUGGCUAGCUGGUCUGAGAGGAUGGCCAGCCACACUGGGACUGAGACACGGCCCAGACUCCUACAGGAGGCAGCAGUGGGGAAUAUUGCGCAAUGGGCGAAAGCCUGACGCAGCGACGCCGCGUGGGUGAUGAAGGCCUUCGGGUCGUAAAGCCCUGUCGGGAGGGAAGAAAUCUCAUCAGCCUAAUAUGCUGGUGACUUGACGGUACCUCUUAAGGAAGCACCGGCUAACUCCGUGCCAGCAGCCGCGGUAAUACGGAGGGUGCAAGCGUUGUUCGGAAUCACUGGGCGUAAAGCGCGUGUAGGCGGCCACUUAAGUCUGAUGUGAAAGCCCUGGGCUCAACUCAGGAAGUGCAUUGGAUACUGGGUGGCUGGAGUACCGGAGAGGAGGGUGGAAUUCCUGGUGUAGCGGUGAAAUGCGUAGAUAUCAGGAGGAACACCGGUGGCGAAGGCGUCCCUCUGGCCGGAUACUGACGCUGAGACGCGAAAGCGUGGGGAGCAAACAGGAUUAGAUACCCUAGUAGUCC